AGUGAACGCUGGCGGUAGGCCUAACACAUGCAAGUCGAACGGCAGCACAGUAAGAGUUUGCCUUGACGGGUGGCGAGUGGCGGACGGGUGAGGAAUACAUCGGAAUCUACUUUUUCGUGGGGGAUAACGUAGGGAAACUUACGCUAAUACCGCAUACGACCUACGGGUGAAAGCAGGGGACCUUCGGACCUUGCGCGAAUGAAGGAGCCGAUGUCGGAUUAGCUAGUUGGCGGGGUAAAGGCCCACCUAGGCGACGAUCCGUAGCCCGUCUGAGAGGAUGAUCAGCCACACUGGCACUGAGACACGGUCCAGACUCCUACGGGAGGCAGCAGUGGGGAAUCUUGGACAAUGGGCGCAAGCCUGAUCCAGCCAUACCGCGUCGGUGAAGAAGGCCUUCGGGUUGUAAAGCCCUUUUGUUGGGAAAGAAAAGCAGCAGGUUAAAACCCCGCUGUUCUGACGGUACCCAAAGAAUAAGCACCGGCUAACUUCGUG
RNAcentral lists this ribosomal RNA (492 nucleotides) under uncultured bacterium. RNAcentral's name for it is "partial 16S ribosomal RNA". It matches the Rfam family "Bacterial small subunit ribosomal RNA", at positions 29 to 507 of the family's 1533-position model. The record is from RNAcentral.